CAGUAGCCGCGGUAAUACGGAGGGGGCUAGCGUUGUUCGGAAUUACUGGGCGUAAAGCGCACGUAGGCGGCUUGGUAAGUUAGAGGUGAAAGCCCGGAGCUCAACUCCGGAAUUGCCUUUAAGACUGCCGAGCUAGUAGGUGAGAGAGGUAAGUGGAAUUCCGAGUGUAGAGGUGAAAUUCGUAGAUAUUCGGAAGAACACCAGUGGCGAAGGCGGCUCACUGGCUCAUUCUAGACGCUGAGGUGCGAAAGCGUGGGGAGCAAACAGGAUUAGAUACCCCUGUAGUCCCUGUCUCUUAUAC
Molecule: ribosomal RNA, 301 nt
Filed under: uncultured bacterium
Lineage: Bacteria
Description: partial 16S ribosomal RNA
Rfam family: Bacterial small subunit ribosomal RNA
Source: RNAcentral